AACGCGAAGAACCUUACCUGGGCUCGAAAUGUAGAGGACAAUAUGGGAAACCAUACUCUCCGCAAGGGGCUUCUAUAUAGGUGCUGCAUGGCUGUCGUCAGCUCGUGCCGUGAGGUGUUGGGUUAAGUCCCGCAACGAGCGCAACCCUUAUCGUUAUUUGCCAGCGAGUAAUGUCGGGAACUAUAGCGAGACUGCCUGCGUUAAGCAGGAGGAAGGUGAGGAUGACGUCAAGUCCGCAUGGCCUUUAUGUCCAGGGCUACACACGUGCUACAAUGGUCGAUACAGAGGGAAGCUAAGGGGCGACCUGGAGCCAACCCCAUAAAAUCGAUCUCAGUUCAGAUUGUAGUCUGCAACUCGACUACAUGAAGUUGGAAUUGCUAGUAAUGGCGUGUCAGCUACAACGCCGUGAAUACGUUCCCGGGCCUUGUACACACCGACUGUAC
RNAcentral lists this ribosomal RNA (443 nucleotides) under uncultured bacterium. RNAcentral's name for it is "bacterial SSU rRNA". It matches the Rfam family "Bacterial small subunit ribosomal RNA", at positions 958 to 1399 of the family's 1533-position model. The record is from RNAcentral.